CCUACGGGGUGCAGCAGUGGGGUAUUUUGGACAAUGGGCGAAAGCCUGAUCCAGCCAUGCCGCGUGUGUGAAGAAGGCCUUCGGGUUGUAAAGCACUUUCAGUGGGGAAGAAAGCCUUGGGGCUAAUACCCUCGAGGAAGGACAUCACCCACAGAAGAAGCACCGGCUAACUCCGUGCCAGCAGCCGCGGUAAUACGGAGGGUGCGAGCGUUAAUCGGAAUUACUGGGCGUAAAGCGCGCGUAGGCGGUCUGAUAAGCCGGUUGUGAAAGCCCCGGGCUCAACCUGGGAACGGCAUCCGGAACUGUCAGGCUAGAGUGCAGGAGAGGAAGGUAGAAUUCCCGGUGUAGCGGUGAAAUGCGUAGAGAUCGGGAGGAAUACCAGUGGCGAAGGCGGCCUUCUGGACUGACACUGACGCUGAGGUGCGAAAGCGUGGGUAGCAAACAGGAUUAGAUACCCCAGUAGUC
RNAcentral lists this ribosomal RNA (465 nucleotides) under Vreelandella stevensii. RNAcentral describes it as "partial 16S ribosomal RNA". It matches the Rfam family "Bacterial small subunit ribosomal RNA", at positions 338 to 795 of the family's 1533-position model. Lineage: Bacteria; Pseudomonadati; Pseudomonadota; Gammaproteobacteria; Oceanospirillales; Halomonadaceae. The record is from RNAcentral.